GCUCGAGUAGCAAAAAAGUGCAUCGAACUUAAGAUUCGAAUAUGGUAUAUUACUAACUAUUUAAUUACCCUCUAGCA
Molecule: transfer RNA, 77 nt
Filed under: Brueelia antiqua
Lineage: Eukaryota; Metazoa; Arthropoda; Insecta; Psocodea; Philopteridae
Description: tRNA-Leu
Source: RNAcentral